UACGUAGGGUGCAAGCGUUAAUCGGAAUUACUGGGCGUAAAGCGUGCGCAGGCGGUGAUGUAAGUCAGAUGUGAAAUCCCCGGGCUUAACCUGGGAACUGCAUUUGUGACUGCAUCGCUGGAGUACGGCAGAGGGGGAUGGAAUUCCGCGUGUAGCAGUGAAAUGCGUAGAUAUGCGGAGGAACACCGAUGGCGAAGGCAAUCCCCUGGGCCUGUACUGACGCUCAUGCACGAAAGCGUGGGGAGCAAACAGG
Molecule: ribosomal RNA, 253 nt
Filed under: uncultured bacterium
Lineage: Bacteria
Description: partial 16S ribosomal RNA
Rfam family: Bacterial small subunit ribosomal RNA
Source: RNAcentral